GUUUUAAUAGUUUAAUCAAAACAAUGAUUUUGUAAUUCAUAGAUAGCUAAAGCUUUAAAACU
RNAcentral lists this transfer RNA (62 nucleotides) under Thaumastocoris safordi. Its description in RNAcentral is "tRNA-Thr". It matches the Rfam family "tRNA". From Rfam's summary of the family: Transfer RNA (tRNA) molecules are approximately 80 nucleotides in length. Lineage: Eukaryota; Metazoa; Arthropoda; Insecta; Hemiptera; Thaumastocoridae. The record is from RNAcentral.